GACUCUAGAAGAGGGCGAAACCAAAGAUUUUAAGUCAGCAGUGAAAGCGUUGAAGGAGUAUUUUGAACCAGAGAAAAACGUGAUAUAUCGCACCUAUGUUUUUAGACAAGCGACGCAAGGCAAAGAGGAAUCAAUCGACGAAUUUCAUACGCGUUUACGAGGCUUGGCAAAAUACUGCGAAUUUACAAACAUAGAUUUUGAAAUUAAGAUGCA
Non-coding RNA from Paramuricea clavata, 213 nucleotides. Lineage: Eukaryota; Metazoa; Cnidaria; Anthozoa; Malacalcyonacea; Plexauridae. The record is from the annotation of a GenBank genome assembly.